Non-coding RNA from Sus scrofa (pig), 666 nucleotides. Lineage: Eukaryota; Metazoa; Chordata; Mammalia; Artiodactyla; Suidae. The record is from RefSeq and is a predicted model, not a curated record.
CAGCCAGCACAAGUGCGCAAUCUCCCCUAAACAAGCAUGGGAGGGGCGCCUGCGCAUGCGCAGCCCCACACAGGAAGUUUCUUACAGCGCCUGCGCCUCCUCCUCUCCCCUCCGCCAUAAUGGCGCCUUGCCUCUCCUGCAGGUCUGGACGUUCUCCCGGGUUCCCUCUGCCCUGGUGUUCCCCUCCUUAGCCUGUGGUGGUCCCCUCCUUAGUCCCUGGUGCACUGCUCCUCAGCCCCUCAUGCCACCCCGGUCCUCUCCCUGGACUGACCUCGGAGCCUGCGUCUCAGCGCCCCGCCCGCGCGUCUGAGGCUGCGGUGCCCCGGCCUGUGGUUCAGCUGGUCUGUGCGGCUCUCACUCGGCUUUGCUGUCCUCAGUCCAGUGGCUGCACGCUUUCUCGCGGACUUGGAGGUCCCACCGACUCAGCCCAUCUUUGCCCAGUGUAAUGCCCAGAGUGGAAGAUUCCUGAGCUGGCAGAGGCCUAGUGAAGUGCCCGUCACCUAGUUCAAAGGUGUUCAGACACCAGAGAUGCAAAACCUUCACCAGAGUCAAGGAGGUAGCUCUCCAUGUAACCUGCUCAGCCGUGACUAGGACAUCACCAUCUCGGAAUCAAGAAACAUCUUUAAGUGCAGAGGCUGCACACUGAUGAGUGGGGGCAGAAAGGCA